RNAcentral lists this transfer RNA (68 nucleotides) under bovine gut metagenome. It matches the Rfam family "tRNA". Rfam says of the family: Transfer RNA (tRNA) molecules are approximately 80 nucleotides in length. Their secondary structure includes four short double-helical elements and three loops (D, anti-codon, and T loops). The record is from RNAcentral.
GGAUGUAGCUUAGUUGGUUAAAGCGCUGGUUUGUGGCACCAGAGAUCGUGGGUUCGAGUCCCAUCUUC